RNAcentral lists this ribosomal RNA (526 nucleotides) under uncultured bacterium. RNAcentral describes it as "bacterial SSU rRNA". It matches the Rfam family "Bacterial small subunit ribosomal RNA", at positions 33 to 529 of the family's 1533-position model. The record is from RNAcentral.
ACGCUAGCGACAGGCUUACACACUGCAGGUGCUAAAGGGCAGCGGGGAUUUAGCUCGCUAAAUCUAGCCGGCGACCGGCGCACGGGUGCGUAACGCGUAUGCAACCGUACCUACUAGAGGGGAAUAACCCGGCGAAAGUCGGACUAAUACCGCAUAACACAGGGGGUCCCGCAUGGGAAUACUUUUGUAUAAAGGAGCCAAUCCGCUGGUCAGAUGGGCAUGCGUUCCACUUAGAUAGUUGGUGAGGUAACGGCUCACCAAGUCUUGCGAUGGAUAAGGGGUUCUGAGAGGAAGGUCCCCCACACUGGUACUGAGACACGGACCAGACUCCUACGGGAGGCAAGCAGUGAGGAAUAUUAGGUCAAUGGGCUGCAAGCCUGAACCAGCCAUGCCGCGUGCAGGAAGACGGUCCUAUGGAUUGUAAACUGCUUUUGUACGGGAGCAAUAAGAACUACGUGUAGUUCGAUGAGAGUACCGUACGAAUAAGCACCGGCUAACUCCGUGCCAGCAGCCGCGGUAAUACGGA